Long non-coding RNA from Gasterosteus aculeatus aculeatus (three-spined stickleback), 2357 nucleotides. The record is from Ensembl. Lineage: Eukaryota; Metazoa; Chordata; Actinopteri; Perciformes; Gasterosteidae.
GUAAGUCACCCGUCCUCUCUUACCCCUCACGACACAGCGGCGCUUCCUAAACCACCUCGGCCCCGACGUACACAACUAAACGCGCGUGUGCUCUUCGCGCGCGGCCGCGUCGCAGAGUGAAGGCGGCUCCACAGAACUUCACCGAGCGAACCACGCGCGUCCCCGCGAGCCGUUCGCGGCCGCUUAGCUCGUUUCUUCCUCUCCCCUCGCGACCACAUCUGGUUCGUGUUGUCGAACAGCACCAGAGAUACGCGCCUGAAGGCUCGCUGGUCUGCGCAUACAGCACGCGCCUCACGCUGCUUCGGUGGUCUUAAGUUCGGCUGUAGGGAAUCUCAGAGCCAAAGGAGGAGCUGCUGUCUGUGACUUUGUCUCUUGUACCCGUCCUCAGAGUUUGAAGCUGAAGAAGAGUCCCUCCUACAGUCAGGACACAUAGUAACACUUUCAGGUAAUAUAUAUUCAAUACAAUCAUGCAUUCCUCUAGGAAAUUUAUUCCAGCAGCUUACAAAAACCCAACCCAACUGUCUGUCACCCAAUGCCAAAACUGAUUUCUGGUAAUACUUGGGCCGUAUCUUUUUCUCUAUAACUGAUUUCAUUUUCAAUGUUAUAAAAUGCUUCUCCUGAUUCAAAUGACCUGCAGACAGUGUUGAGGGGUCAAGGGAAAUAUAAAAGUUAUUUUAUGUGUAUCUUUGCAGGGAAUUGAAAUUUCCAUCAUGUUUUUCGUGUUGAGCAAUACCUUUCUAGCGAAGGCAUCUGCUGACGUUCUCUCCUCUGGCUGUGUUUUCUGGAAGAGCUCCUAAUCUGUCGGAGUUGAGAACCGUGGGACGCCGGGUAAUCAGGCCUGAGCUGCUCCUUCCAAACCAGCCAAACAUCUGGCUGCCUGCCGUUUGACCGCCUUGGCCACACACACACACACACACACGCACGCACGUUUGAUGCUAAAAGCGCUGCAGAGGAGCUCAGAAAUUACACUCAAUAAACACAGAAAUCAAAUAGAACAAUUUCCAAAUAUUAGCUUUGCCAUCUACUUUCCUGCAGUCUUAUAAAACGGCCUUUGUUGCUCACAGUAAAUAGGUUUCCCCUGCCCCCUGCCAAGUCAAACACAAAUGUCCGGUCGAUGGGAGCGUGGCUCGACUUUAAUUAAACUCGGUGUUGAUUUGCACGUACAGGCUCCAGACCAGAGAGGCGCUUGGGUCUGCUGAGAGUCCGGACUCUGUUCUUAAUGGUGCCAACACUUCCUUGAAGCUGCUUGUGCACCGAGGCGCUCUCACUGCCAGCCGAGUUGAGGACGAGGUUACAGCAGACCCCGUUGUUCACUUUUAACUUUUAAAUAGGGCACUCCCAAAUAUCCAGAACGUAACUCUGAUUAAAUACAGUCUCAGCUUUAUUUUUCUUAGUUUUGACAUCAUGUGGAUGUGGUAAUGCAUCUUUCAUUCACUAGUUUUGUUACUUUAAGACUCCCUGUCUUUUAGAAAAAAAGCGUUACUGUUACUAUUAUGCUUUGAUAGUGGUCGGCUAAUUGACUUAAUCUCUUCACUGCCGCUGGUUUAUUGAACAUGUGAGUAUCGGGGUGAUAACUGAAGGUCAGUAGGAAUUCCUGUCACGUCUUUAACAACAUGGUGAAGUCAGCUGGCCUCGCUGUGGCCUGGCUGUUCAUGCGGAUGUUAAUUUCCCACAGAAGCACCCAGUGUGACCUCACGCAUGGCUUUCAGCAAUUAAACACUUUAAUCCCAGGUGACCCGGCGGAUCCCACAUGUAAUAUCUCCUCUCAUGCCAGCAAUUCGGUGAAAGAGUAAAUGCACACGACUCCCUAAUUCCUCCUCAGUAAAGUCCGCUACACCAUCUGCUAACAAAUUCUACGCAUUUGUGAAAUCCCUUGCGAGCGACAUUUCUUGAUCCUGCGGAUACGGCGCUGAUGUGCGAUUGAUACAGGACCAAUGUAUGAGGAAUGACUUGAAUAAGAGCUUUAACUGACCUUUACUUGUCCUGUUCAUAACCCAUUUGGAAAAAAAAGUCCACGGUUUAUCCAGUGUGUGCCCGUGUGUGCGUGCGUGUGCAUAUUUAGGGGCGGGGGAUUGGAUUUUGCUUAAAGGACCCUCAGGAUAGAGGCCUCAGAUCUACUUUCCGUCGCUUCACAACAUUAAAAGGAUGAUAUUACUUUGCUGAAAGCACAGAAUUUCAAUGAGAGCAGGAAAAAAACGAAAAUGUUAAAGAAUUCAUUAUAAUAUAAUUUAGUAGAUCAAAGGCUAGAGAUACUUUUCAGUGUGCAACUCUUCUGCAGCAGAGGCGAUUUACAGAAUGUAUGCAUGUAUUUGUCCGACUGUAUCGUAUGAAUGGAGAGUGCUUUACUCUCUAGCUUG